This 371-nucleotide ribosomal RNA is filed under the name uncultured bacterium. RNAcentral describes it as "bacterial SSU rRNA". It matches the Rfam family "Bacterial small subunit ribosomal RNA", at positions 527 to 896 of the family's 1533-position model. The record is from RNAcentral.
GGAGGGGGCUAGCGUUGUCCGAAGUUACUGGGCGUAAAGCGCGCGUAGGCGGGUUGGUAAGUCCGCUGUGAAAGCCCGGAGCUCAACUCCGGAGGGUCGGUGGAUACUGCCAGUCUUGAAGGUGCUAGGGGGAGAUGGAAUUACCGGUGUAGCGGUGAAAUGCGUAGAUAUCGGUAGGAACACCAGUGGCGAAGGCGGUCUCCUGGGGCAUUCUUGACGCUGAGGCGCGAAAGCUGGGGGAGCGAACGGGAUUAGAUACCCCGGUAGUCCCAGCCCUAAACGAUGAAUACUAGGUGUCGGGGGUAUCGACCCCUCCGGUGCCGCCGCUAACGCAGUAAGUAUUCCGCCUGGGGAGUACGGCCGCAAGGUUG